RNAcentral lists this ribosomal RNA (482 nucleotides) under uncultured bacterium. Its description in RNAcentral is "partial 16S ribosomal RNA". It matches the Rfam family "Bacterial small subunit ribosomal RNA", at positions 30 to 507 of the family's 1533-position model. The record is from RNAcentral.
AUUGAACGCUGGCGGCAUGCCUUACACAUGCAAGUCGAACGGUAACAGGUCUUCGGAUGCUGACGAGUGGCGAACGGGUGAGUAAUACAUCGGAACGUGCCCGAUCGUGGGGGAUAACGGAGCGAAAGCUUUGCUAAUACCGCAUACGAUCUACGGAUGAAAGCAGGGGACCGCAAGGCCUUGCGCGGACGGAGCGGCCGAUGGCAGAUUAGGUAGUUGGUGGGAUAAAAGCUUACCAAGCCGACGAUCUGUAGCUGGUCUGAGAGGACGACCAGCCACACUGGGACUGAGACACGGCCCAGACUCCUACGGGAGGCAGCAGUGGGGAAUUUUGGACAAUGGGCGAAAGCCUGAUCCAGCCAUGCCGCGUGCAGGAUGAAGGCCUUCGGGUCGUAAACUGCUUUUGUACGGAACGAAAAGACUCUUUCUAAUAAAGAGGGUCCAUGACGGUACCGGAAGAAUAAGCACCGGCUAACUACGUG